Molecule: small RNA, 28 nt
Filed under: Bombyx mori (domestic silkworm)
Lineage: Eukaryota; Metazoa; Arthropoda; Insecta; Lepidoptera; Bombycidae
Description: piRNA piR-bmo-2095030
Source: RNAcentral
UACACGUCGUAAAAAGGGUUCCAAGUGA